Long non-coding RNA from Anneissia japonica, 6418 nucleotides. RefSeq lists it as uncharacterized. The transcript has 3 exons. NCBI's taxonomy places the organism in Eukaryota, Metazoa, Echinodermata, Crinoidea, Comatulida, Comatulidae. The record is from RefSeq and is a predicted model, not a curated record.
ACUAACAACACUCAACUACAGGAAGGGAAGUUCAUUCGAUGUAAGCAUCACCUAUGCCACCUAUUAAACUAACAUUUACCUCAAUCUCAACUGCUUUCCUUGUGAGUGGAAUACAUUGUUUUUGGGAAUAGACGGAAGUAAUAUAUAAAAUAAAGAAUGAAAGGAAGUUUACACAAUCUGAACUUUUUAUGUAAGGAUGUUAUCUAAAGCCAAUGAGGGGUCAUGGUAGGAGCAUCUUCGUCACAGCCCAGGUUAAUGCAAAUUCUACCACACACAAGAUCAAGUCAAUAUCUAUUUGUAUCAUCAUGUCAUCUGAUGGACCUGGCAGCAUCUAGCAAGUGUGUGGACACAUAAAAUGAAGACCUAAGACAACGGAUAGGAUACUCAGUGCAGUACAACACACUGCAGGCAGAUUUGGAAUACCUAACUCCCUAAGAAGAACAGGAACUGAAGACUUCUGUUGGAUUUGAACCCAAAGAAUGCUUGAACUACUGUAGAAGACACGCAUCUGAAAACCACAAAGUGCCAUGAAAUUAAACAUCCUUUAUAGGGGACACUGUCUACUACAAUAAAUAAGUAUUCCAUAAAUUAUUAUUAUAUGUAAUUAAAAUAGAUCACGCUUUAUAAGUUGACUAUGAUGAUUAACUUUUUUUUUAUGUAUUUUGAUAUGUUCAUCAUUGCCAAAGAAAAGAAAUUUCCAAUUUUUAUUUUAUUGUACAUUUCGACAAAUAAAUAAUAAAUUAUACCUAGUAUUAUUUUAUUUACAAUUUAUUCACAAUUCUGUUUUGUUAAAAUGUUCACGGUCACAUGAUAAUCUCUGAACAAAUUAUCCUGUAAUCACCACCUUUUGCCCUUUUACAUGAGAUUUGGCAUUUGCCUUUUACAAAACCCCAUGUAAUCUAUUUUAAGACAAAUUUAUGGCACAGAGUAUGCUGUUAUUAGACAGCAAUCUGACCUAGUUGAAAUCACUGUCACUCCACUGGGAAUAAAUGAUCUAGUUCUAGAAACAAAAGAGGUCUUCAGAAUGUUCUUCUUUCAUGUUUCAUAAUUGAACAAACAUGUUGAAAUUACCACAAUAUCUCAUGCCAAUGAGCAAUCAAAUGUGGUGGCAUGACCUUUGUUUAGAAGCAAACUAGAAAAUAUACUACACAGCGUUGCCUCGUUACAUUAUCAAGAUCUGUGUUUCGGGUCAGGAAGUCCUGAUCUCGCCAUUAGCCGAAUUAACAAAGCACCAUAAAAUGUAAACUUACAAUAAAAUAACUUAUUGGUUUACUUUGUGAAUCUAACGUAAAUAUAUUUUAGUUUCAACAUGGGUAUCUUAGUAUUUAAGAACAAACUUCUGCACCAUGGUAACAAAAAAAAAACCAUCAUUACAACGUGCUAAUUCGAAUAAGGUAGAAGUAUGAAAAUAGCAAUACUUGCCACAGUACAGUAAAUAAUACACUGGUAAAAAAUGGCCCCUAAUCACCAUACUGUACACGAGGGCAUUUUUUUCAACAUAAUAGGGAGGUUUCACACGCGAACUCGUACGGUUAGUGUGACGAAUACAUUAUCAUUUUGACGUCAUACACCGGCUGCUAUCCGCUAAACGUGUGGCGACACGCAUAUCUCGCUCACUACAAGUAAGUGAAAAACGCAUAGGGAAAUUUUGGAUUUCUAGUAGGAUCGUCGUACGUGCCAUUUUUGUGACAUUUGAAGACAACAAAUUACGAUAGGAUGCGUCUCAUUUUGGGGUAUCAAAACGUCGGUGCUUUGACCUAGGUGGCGUCGAGAUUUAUGCAGGCCUAGGCCUACUUGUAGCCAGGCACUUUUGGGUCAUAAACAGUAGGGUCUAUCACAAAAUAACCAACACUUCUGGGCAACAAAGAUAGUAUUUUUCGGCUACAAUUUUCAAUUUCAGUUUCCAAAACCUUACAUACACUAAUAAAGCUUUAAGAAGCAUGAUGAGAGAAGAGAACAGAGUAUAGUAGGCCUAAGCUAAGGCCCUAGGCCAGGAAAAACACAGAAUGCCUACGAACGGAUAGCUAAACAUAUGCAUACACGUAUUCGUUCGCGUGCGAAACCUCUCUAUUGUUACCAUUAAUGCAUAACAUUAUAACAUCAGUUUCAGUGGCAGGAAGUUACCGCACGUCAGUCUGCAUACAGUGGGGAUCCCAGUUUUGCAACUCCUGGGCUCUGUGACAAUGCCAAUUAAAUUAACAGUUGAUCAAAAUGUUUUAUUUAUUACCCCAGGAACAGAUCCAGAAUUUUUCAAACGGGGAGGGGGGUGUGCACAACAGCCUCAGAAUAGGUAAGUGAGUAGCACAUACUUCAUGCUUUGAUUUGCAUUGAAAAUUUUAAAAUUUAAUGCAAAAUGUGGGGGGGGGGGGCACACGUGCAAUCCACUGGAUCCGCCCCUGAACCCAGAGCUGCUUGCAUACCAAAAUAGUAUUAUGAAUAACAUGCUUACAAAACAUAACCUAGAAAUUUACACACCAAACAAGAUCAGAUGUGCAUAUUACUAAUACUAACUAUCCUUAACAAAUAAACAAUUUCACAGUAGGUCAAUCGGAUCAAGGAAGUAAUUGUAAACGGCCAUCCUAACGAAAAUUUUGCCACUUGCCUUCCAUGCUGUGCAAUUAACUGUCAGUUUAUAACAUUAGCAUUCAGGAGAGCCUGGUAAGAGCCUGGGGAAGAGCCUGGGGCUUCCUCCCACCCCCGAUAAAGCCACAUAAGAAUUCCCCUCCUUUAAAUUGGCUAUCGCUUUAACUCGUUGCUACCAGCACUUCAGUUUCCCAUAAUGCACCUAUCCACCCCACGCCCAAAACAAACCAUCAUCCAUGUUACAAUAAUAGCAAAGGUUAGAGAUUCUGAUCUGAAAUAUUAUGCAAACAACUUUUUGAAAACAUUUAAAAUAAAUAUAAUUUUAUUUAUACUACAGUACCACUUAUACAAUUUUAAUGUUUUCUUAACUUUGAUGUUAUGUAAUUUUCAUUUUAUUGUUAGCAUAACCUUUUACAAUUUUAAUUACCUUUUGAAUUUGUUUGUACAGUACAAUCAUUGGGAAAGCCUACUCACUUGUGGACAAUAGCUCAUUAUAUUUUUUAGCAAGUUUAGCACUGUCACUAAUGUACAGUAUUUUGUAAUAUUAAUGUCCAAACUAUGACAGGGGCAGUCAUUCUAUUCCUGUACUUUCGACCAAUCAGAUGCCUGGAUCUAUGUAAAUAUCCUCUAUCUUAUUACUUGGAUACAUAACUCAUCCCUGCAAUGAUUUUGAAAUUAAAGGAUUUUAUAUACAGUAGUGUAUAAUUAUUACUAUAACAUAAAACUAAUACAUGACUUUUUGUUACGAAAACAAAAUUAAUAUUCCAACUUCACAAAGUUAUGAAUAUUAAAGAAAGUAUUUAUCAUUCAUCACAUAUUAAGAAUUAAAUAGGGCUUAAAAUUUAAAUCUUUAACCAUGCCCGAGAUUACCUUAUUUAUUCAAUUACUAUUUUGGAUUAAAACAGGCAAUACAAAUCCCAAAGUGCCCUCAAUCUAUCAUAUUAUACCACAACAAAAUAAUACAUUUGACAAACGUAGCGCAAUUAUUUUGGUUUUUUUUAAUAGAAUAUAUAAUACAAAACAUUAUUUCAAAUACAUUAUUUACACAAAAACCAACAGGAAAGCUGUGUAAAUAUAUGUUGUUAAUGUCUAUGAACUCAAUAUCAAUCACUUUAAUACGGUACUCGAUCAUAGCUUGAAGGGAAAUCAACACACAAAAUCUGCAUGUUAAAAAUGACCAUAUGCAGGCUCAUGCAAUAGACCUUUCUGAAAUGUCAAUCAAACAUAACAAAUGACCAAUCAGAAGAGGACAAGAAUAUGUGGGUGCCACACAAGCAAAUGUGUUGUCUUACAAACGUACGUGUUUACAUAUAUUUUUACAUUGUCAUCUUGUGGGACCUUACUGUAGCAACAGUAUCUACAGUAAUCAAUCAAACUUUAACAAAUGACCAAUCAGAAGAGGCCAAGAAUAUGUGGAUGCCACACAAGCAAAUGUGUUGUCUUACAAACGUACGUGUUUACAUAUAUUAUUACAUUGUCAUCUUGUGGGACCUUACUGUAGCAACAGAAUCUACAGUACAGUAAUCAAAUUUUAACAAAUGACCAAUCAGAAGAGGCCAAGAAUAUAUGCGUGCCACACAAGCAGAUGUGUUUUCUUGCAAACGCAUGUGUUCAUGCAUACAAUAUAUUUUUACAUUGUCGUCUUGAGGUACCUUAGCAACAGUAUCUAGGUAUCUAGGGGAGGGACUUAGCAGAAAGUUCCAUUAGAGGAAAUGGUCAGCGUGUGAAUAAAUUGGCACAGAAUCCAGGAAUAGUGUAGAUUAUAUGGUGAUUCAUAUGUUGGCUUCUAAUCUUCAGGCCUUGUAAUGCUGGAUAGGCUGUGUUAAGGGGAAGGAAGUUGCCUAGUCAGUCACUACAACAUUUCUAAUUUUCAAUGUUAAAGAAAAAUAUCCUUCAAAAAAUAUUUAUAUAAUAUAAAAAUACAAAUUAUCUUUAAAUUAUGAUUUAUUAUUAUUAUUAUUAUUAUUAUUAUUAUUAUUAUUAUUCUAGAAGCAUUACAGCUAAACCUAUUUUUAGUAGUGUGAAAAAUAUAGAUAAAAACAAUUAAUUGUUCACGUGCUAUAGUGGGAUAUUGCAAGUACUGUACUGUAUUACAAAACUACAACUGUUUAAUUAAUUUCUAUUUAUAAAAUAAUGAAUAAUACGGUAUAAUCAUAUUUUACAGUAAUUAAUAAUAUAUAAUAAAAAAUAAUGAUUUAUGAUUAUUUUUAUUGUUUAAAAAACUAUGUGAUUCACUAGAAUAAUCAAUCCUAAUUAUGUCAUCAUUAUAACAAUUUAUUGAUGUUAAACAGAUUAAUUUUAAUUUAAAACUGAUUAAUUCUUUAAAACAGUUUUGAUAGUAAUUUUUCUAAUAUUUGUUUUAUUCCAAAUUUGUACUUUGAAGUGUGAUUCACAAAAUGAUGCUAUACUAAGCUUUAAAAUUCAAAUUUGUUGAAUACAAUUGUUGUUUAAUCUUAUGAUCACUCACGUAUGACUGCUGUUUCAUUUCAAGAGACACAACCUUUGACUUAAAACUACCACUUCGUUUUCUUGCAGGUCGGAAUUGAGUACUUCUUAAAGCACGCUAAAUCCCUGGUGAACUAUACUGUGAUCAAAUACAAUACAGUUGCUGAUAAUCACAACAUUGGGAGAAGCAAAUCCCAUGAUCUCAAUGGAUGGACACACAUUACUAAGCUCUUCAACUUUCAAAACCGAGAAAAAAAGAGAUUUAUUGAGGAAAUUUAUACAGAAAUGGAACAAAACCUAAGAUAUUUCGAAAAAAUGUUGGGAAUUUAGAAUUUUGAGUCUGUAAAGUGAUUGACUGAAGGUCAAUAAAGAGGAAGAGAAAGUAAUUGGUGAUACAGACUGAUAUAACCACAGAUUGAGCCGAAAAAAGCCACUUUGACCUAAGGAUAAACAGGUCUGACAAUGCUAUGCUAAACUGGUUAUCUAGAUAUUGAUCCUAAAUGAAAUACUUAGGUAUAUAGGUAUAAUCACUAACAAUCUUAGUAUUUUCAAACAUGUUUGGUAACUUGCACACUUAGCUUGCAUUUUUUUGUAGGCCACUGCUUUACUUUGGCCACCCAUCUGAGAAUCUUUAUAACGCAGCUUUAAAAAAAAAAAUUUUUUAAAUCAGCACAACGGUUGGUGGCGCUUAUCAAUAUUCUUAUCUUUUCCCCUCAGGUCCAAUGAUAGAAUAGCCUACAUAUAUUGAUAUUCUGGUCACUUGUUUAUGAUCAUUAAUAAUUCUAUAAUUAAUAAUUUUUUUGGAAAGGAGAUGUACUAUAAGUUCUACAUAUAAUUAUAGUUCUUAAAUGCAAGAAUUCCUGAGGGUAUAAUCCAUUCGGAAUUUUGGUUUUGGCAGGGCUGAGCUGUUACCCUUUUAUGUAACUAAAGCCUGUAAAAUAGGCCUACUUACUUCAAUAAGAAAAGCUGAAAGAUGUUGCCUAGACAACUUGAAAAUCUUUGUUUUUCCAUCUACUUUGGCUAUCUUACAACAGAUAGAGACUUCAACUCACAUUAAUAGCGAAUGUGGCUACAAAACGUUUAUUAUCAGGAUAUCUUAACGUACCAUGUCAAUGUAAACGGAAAUUAUAUCCUUGGCGCUGUUACUCAUAAACUGUUAUCCAUAACACCACCACCAUUCAGGUUUUUUCUCUGCUAAUUGCAAUUGGGAAGAGUUAAGUUAUGUCCACACUAUCUCAUAUUAUGUGACAAAUAAAGAAGGUACAGUAUGAUAAGUUUAAAGGUUAAAGUUCGCCCUCACUUUCAUCACAGAAAAACUGUAUAAAAAAAUAAAUAGCCAGUGUUGGCACCACACGGAAUCAAAGAAGGCAAAUUACAGCCUAAACUUGAA